RNAcentral lists this ribosomal RNA (100 nucleotides) under Fukomys damarensis (Damara mole-rat). Lineage: Eukaryota; Metazoa; Chordata; Mammalia; Rodentia; Bathyergidae. The record is from RNAcentral.
GUCUAUGGCCAUACCACACUGAAUGGGCCUUAUCUCAUCUGAUCUUGUAAGCUAAGCAAGGUCAGUCUAGCCUUCCCUUGAAGGUACAGAGCCAUGAGUG